Non-coding RNA from Microcebus murinus (gray mouse lemur), 2096 nucleotides. NCBI's taxonomy places the organism in Eukaryota, Metazoa, Chordata, Mammalia, Primates, Cheirogaleidae. The record is from RefSeq and is a predicted model, not a curated record.
UAGUUACAGAAUACCCAGAUGGAAUUACUACAAAUCUAUAACACUAAUGGAUACCACCUGGAGAGCUUGGCUUGUAAAAAUGUGGUCCCAUGACAUUGUACCUUGUUUAAUAGCUGGACAUGAAUUUAGAUUGUUUCCAUUAGAUAUGAUCAGCCCAGUUUUAGAAAUGAGGCAACUGUAACUGAGAGGUCACACAGCCACUGAAUCACCAGGAGUCAGGACAACACUAAUGUUGCAGGAGUUGGAAGCCUGGAGUAGCAAAAGGAAGGAGAAGUGCAUGCCUGAGACGAUCGCAGGUUAGCUGAAUAGUCUUCCUAUUUUGAAACAUUGGUCUUUUGUUUCUUUGCUGGAGUAAUAAUGGCCGAGAAGUGACUUUAUCUUGAGAGUACCUGUUACCCGAUAAAGAAGGACAGAGAGGAAUACUCUGGUUUCAUUUUGCUGUUGCUGCCACACAAGAAUCAUGGAUGUUACAAGCAGAAAACAGGAAGGGAGAGUGACUGCAUAGCUCAGGACCACAUUGGAAUACCCUCCAGCAAAUAUUAGAACAGUUGCGGCAAGUAAAACAACUCUGCAUAAGGUUGACAAGGCGAAAGGAAAACGUUCUCCGUGACAAGCAUUUGUCACCUGUACCUCUCCUCUACAAAAGGAGAGAAUCCUGCCUGGACCUCCGAGCCUGGGUCCCCCACGUCUGCCAAGGUGGGUGCUGAGCCUCUCGGCCUGGUGCCCGGAUGUUGGCUGCUCUCAUCAUAGCAACGGGGAAAUAAACACACUGGAACUGUGAGGGCUCCAGAAAGCUAAGGACAGCUUGGAGAAGGUGACAAGGAGACAAGCACAGAGGAAGUGGAAGCUUCCCUGUCAUGCCCUCUUCUAUGUGGCAGUUCCCCGGCAAAUGGCCAAUGCAGGGGACACUAUGAGAGUCCUAGGCUGUGGGUGGGAGUGAAAAAAAUAAAUGCACUUUAGCUAAGAGUCUGAAACGAGUGAAUGGACUGCCACCAAUUCUACAACAAGCAUUAUUGAAGCAAUUUAGGCACAGAUCUUUCACAUAAGAGCACCAGUCUCCCGGGAGGCCAAUCGCAAGAGGAACUCUAAUGCAUGUCAACAGUACGUGGGCUCUGGCCAUGUCCAGGCGACGGGGACAGGCGGGAUGUAGACGGCACGUUCCCAGCUCUUGAGGAGUAACAAUCACUUUUUACAUCUGUGUAGCAUCUCGUUGCUCACCCAGGACAUUCUUGUACAUCAUGUAUCCUCAGCCUGGCCCUGCCACUAAGCAUCGGCACUCUUGGAGAAUGAGUGGUUGCGUGAUUUGAGGAUGGGAAUGCAAGUGGAGAGCUUCACUGUGUUAAGAGCUGCAAAGCAGGAAUGAUUGCUGAUUAUCACAUGUGGGCAAUCUAAAGCAUGUGUAGGGGCAGAGGAAAGCUGCUUCUCUGGCCACUGACGACUCGCUGAAAUGACUGACAGCAGAUAGAUCAAUAGGAGAAAAAGGCAUACACCUGUAUCCAUAUUCAUAUGGACAUGGGAGUUCUGCAAAUCUGAGACUCAACGAAGGCAAGAUUCCUGAUGCUUAAAUAACUCCCUCACAGAAAAGAGGAAAGUUGGGGGCUGUAAACAAUUUUAUAGGAAUAGUAAAUGAUUUUUAGGGGAAAUGAAUGAGUCCAAAAAAUAAUUACCUGCGACAAAGUUCCAGAUGAGGGGAAGGUGGAGGGCAAAAGUUCACUGAACAAAGCUUGUCUUAUUCUGCAGAUAAAGUCUUCCAGGUAAUACUGUUAAGUAGAUAGUGAAGGACCUCCAGCUGUCCCAGGGACAAAGGGGGGGAGCCCCAGCUUGGUCCUGCCUUGAGCAAUUGCCACACCUGUGGGGCAAUUACCACCUGUGGGGGAGGAGGAAUGCCCUGCCCAUCUGCAAAAGAAUGAAGGGGGUUUUUCUCAGCUCCUGUGCCAGGCAGCCCAGGCACAAUAUGAUCUGGAAAGUGACCUAGAGUAGCCUAAGCCUAAUUAUUAUUAACUGGCCAUGCAAGUGGUUCCAUGGUGACAGGAGGAGGGCCCAUUCUGACAGUACAAAACAGGACCCCAGACCAUAACCAGAGCCUCUCGUUAGGA